This is a long non-coding RNA of Beta vulgaris subsp. vulgaris (sugar beet), 335 nucleotides long. RefSeq lists it as uncharacterized. The record is from RefSeq and is a predicted model, not a curated record. The transcript has 3 exons. NCBI's taxonomy places the organism in Eukaryota, Viridiplantae, Streptophyta, Magnoliopsida, Caryophyllales, Amaranthaceae.
AACUCUUCUAAACAUCCAUACAAAGUAGUUCAAGCUUUGGUUCCAAUCUUUAGACCUUAAACUCAUAUAGAAAACCUUGCUGAAAGAUCACAUAAGUUGCUGGGAAGCUGUAGGAGUAGUUAACCAAGUGGAUUAAGGAAUUUCGUGGCUUUAAGCAUCCUUAGUUAAGAGUCAAACAUUGUUGCAGGUUUGGUGUUGUGAGCUCAGGAUUCUGAAGUGAAGCAAGAUAAAGAUGUCGUCGUAGCUUAUGGAUUGAGUUUGUAUUUUAGAUAGUCAAUUAAGGAAUAGUUUCUGAUAUAUUUCGUUGUAUACAAUAUUUGGGAAUAUUAGUCGAG